GGAGAAGUGGCCGAGUCGGUCGAAGGCGCUCCCCUGCUAAGGGAGUAUACUGGAAACAGUAUCGAGAGUUCGAAUCUCUUCUUCUCCU
Molecule: transfer RNA, 88 nt
Filed under: Tumebacillus sp. BK434
Lineage: Bacteria; Bacillati; Bacillota; Bacilli; Caryophanales; Alicyclobacillaceae
Description: tRNA-Ser
Rfam family: tRNA
About the family: Transfer RNA (tRNA) molecules are approximately 80 nucleotides in length. Their secondary structure includes four short double-helical elements and three loops (D, anti-codon, and T loops). Further hydrogen bonds mediate the characteristic L-shaped molecular structure. tRNAs have two regions of fundamental functional importance: the anti-codon, which is responsible for specific mRNA codon recognition, and the 3' end, to which the tRNAs corresponding amino acid is attached (by aminoacyl-tRNA synthetases). tRNAs cope with the degeneracy of the genetic code in two manners: having more than one tRNA (with a specific anti-codon) for a particular amino acid; and 'wobble' base-pairing, i.e. permitting non-standard base-pairing at the 3rd anti-codon position.
Source: RNAcentral